UACGAAGGGGGCUAGCGUUGCUCGGAAUCACUGGGCGUAAAGCGCACGUAGGCGGCUUCUUAAGUCAGGGGUGAAAUCCUGGAGCUCAACUCCAGAACUGCCUUUGAUACUGAGGAGCUUGAGUCCGGGAGAGGUGAGUGGAACUGCGAGUGUAGAGGUGAAAUUCGUAGAUAUUCGCAAGAACACCGGUGGCGAAGGCGGCUCACUGGCUCAUUUCUGACGCUCAGGCGCGACAGCGUGGGGAUCAAACAGG
Molecule: ribosomal RNA, 253 nt
Filed under: uncultured bacterium
Lineage: Bacteria
Description: partial 16S ribosomal RNA
Rfam family: Bacterial small subunit ribosomal RNA
Source: RNAcentral